This 516-nucleotide ribosomal RNA is filed under the name Triticum aestivum (bread wheat). Its description in RNAcentral is "partial small subunit ribosomal RNA". Lineage: Eukaryota; Viridiplantae; Streptophyta; Magnoliopsida; Poales; Poaceae. The record is from RNAcentral.
AUGGAAAUUCUUCGUGAUUUUGGCGCAGCCUCGGGGUUGCACAUCAACCCCUCAAAGUCGACGGCCCUACCCAUCAGAUGCGAUAAUAUAGACCUAGGGCACAUACUGCAAAAUUUCGGAGGAAUAGUAGGGAACUUCCCAACGACUUAUCUGGGUCUGCCGCUGACGCUAGCCAGGCUGCGACUCGCGAACCUACAGUUCAUCAUAGAUAGGAUCAAAGCCCGCCUUGCGGGAUGGAAAUGGAAGCUGCUUCCAUUGGCUAGUAGACGUGUGCUGGUUCGAUGCGUCCUCAGCGCCAUGCCGAUGUUCGCUUUGACCGUCCUUCGAGUGCCAAAGAAGUUACUAAAGGAGAUUGACAAGUGCAGGCGCAGAUUCUUAUGGAAGCAAGAUGAGGAGAUCACUGGUGGUAGCUGCAAGGUCAACUGGACAGCUGUUUGCGCUCCCACAUCGCACGGAGGACUGGGCGUCCUCGACCUCGAGCGGUUUUGCCGAGCCCUGAGAUUACGGUGGCUCUAG